RNAcentral lists this ribosomal RNA (1663 nucleotides) under Escherichia coli. RNAcentral describes it as "partial 23S ribosomal RNA". It matches the Rfam family "Bacterial large subunit ribosomal RNA", at positions 1273 to 2915 of the family's 2925-position model. The record is from RNAcentral. Lineage: Bacteria; Pseudomonadati; Pseudomonadota; Gammaproteobacteria; Enterobacterales; Enterobacteriaceae.
CUGGAGGUAUCAGAAGUGCGAAUGCUGACAUAAGUAACGAUAAAGCGGGUGAAAAGCCCGCUCGCCGGAAGACCAAGGGUUCCUGUCCAACGUUAAUCGGGGCAGGGUGAGUCGACCCCUAAGGCGAGGCCGAAAGGCGUAGUCGAUGGGAAACAGGUUAAUAUUCCUGUACUUGGUGUUACUGCGAAGGGGGGACGGAGAAGGCUAUGUUGGCCGGGCGACGGUUGUCCCGGUUUAAGCGUGUAGGCUGGUUUUCCAGGCAAAUCCGGAAAAUCAAGGCUGAGGCGUGAUGACGAGGCACUACGGUGCUGAAGCAACAAAUGCCCUGCUUCCAGGAAAAGCCUCUAAGCAUCAGGUAACAUCAAAUCGUACCCCAAACCGACACAGGUGGUCAGGUAGAGAAUACCAAGGCGCUUGAGAGAACUCGGGUGAAGGAACUAGGCAAAAUGGUGCCGUAACUUCGGGAGAAGGCACGCUGAUAUGUAGGUGAAGCGACUUGCUCGUGGAGCUGAAAUCAGUCGAAGAUACCAGCUGGCUGCAACUGUUUAUUAAAAACACAGCACUGUGCAAACACGAAAGUGGACGUAUACGGUGUGACGCCUGCCCGGUGCCGGAAGGUUAAUUGAUGGGGUCAGCGCAAGCGAAGCUCUUGAUCGAAGCCCCGGUAAACGGCGGCCGUAACUAUAACGGUCCUAAGGUAGCGAAAUUCCUUGUCGGGUAAGUUCCGACCUGCACGAAUGGCGUAAUGAUGGCCAGGCUGUCUCCACCCGAGACUCAGUGAAAUUGAACUCGCUGUGAAGAUGCAGUGUACCCGCGGCAAGACGGAAAGACCCCGUGAACCUUUACUAUAGCUUGACACUGAACAUUGAGCCUUGAUGUGUAGGAUAGGUGGGAGGCUUUGAAGUGUGGACGCCAGUCUGCAUGGAGCCGGCCUUGAAAUACCACCCUUUAAUGUUUGAUGUUCUAACGUGGACCCGUGAUCCGGGUUGCGGACAGUGUCUGGUGGGUAGUUUGACUGGGGCGGUCUCCUCCUAAAGAGUAACGGAGGAGCACGAAGGUUGGCUAAUCCUGGUCGGACAUCAGGAGGUUAGUGCAAUGGCAUAAGCCAGCUUGACUGCGAGCGUGACGGCGCGAGCAGGUGCGAAAGCAGGUCAUAGUGAUCCGGUGGUUCUGAAUGGAAGGGCCAUCGCUCAACGGAUAAAAGGUACUCCGGGGAUAACAGGCUGAUACCGCCCAAGAGUUCAUAUCGACGGCGGUGUUUGGCACCUCGAUGUCGGCUCAUCACAUCCUGGGGCUGAAGUAGGUCCCAAGGGUAUGGCUGUUCGCCAUUUAAAGUGGUACGCGAGCUGGGUUUAGAACGUCGUGAGACAGUUCGGUCCCUAUCUGCCGUGGGCGCUGGAGAACUGAGGGGGGCUGCUCCUAGUACGAGAGGACCGGAGUGGACGCAUCACUGGUGUUCGGGUUGUCAUGCCAAUGGCACUGCCCGGUAGCUAAAUGCGGAAGAGAUAAGUGCUGAAAGCAUCUAAGCACGAAACUUGCCCCGAGAUGAGUUCUCCCUGACUCCUUGAGAGUCCUGAAGGAACGUUGAAGACGACGACGUUGAUAGGCCGGGUGUGUAAGCGCAGCGAUGCGUUGAGCUAACCGGUACUAAUGAACCGUGAGG